This is a non-coding RNA of Bradyrhizobium erythrophlei, 140 nucleotides long. The record is from Rfam. NCBI's taxonomy places the organism in Bacteria, Pseudomonadati, Pseudomonadota, Alphaproteobacteria, Hyphomicrobiales, Nitrobacteraceae.
CAGUGAGGGAGGGUCUCACUCGGAUAAUUGUCGAUUGGUCCGGAAGCUGGCAGGCGACACGGCCGGGUAACUGGCUGGGUCGGAGCCCUGCGACGAAGGCGGCCUUGGGCUGCUGAGCGAUCCGAUGGGCCGUAACAAAG